RNA transcript from Quercus robur (English oak), 1106 nucleotides. RefSeq lists it as uncharacterized. The transcript is spliced from 10 exons. The record is from RefSeq and is a predicted model, not a curated record. Lineage: Eukaryota; Viridiplantae; Streptophyta; Magnoliopsida; Fagales; Fagaceae.
AACUUGAAACACCUAGGAAGAUCCAAAAUCUAACACACACAGCUCAGCUCUGUCAGCAAUGGAAACAUGUUUGAUGAAAUGCUCUCAUGGAAGUGCUCUUUUCAGAGCCCUCAAACCUCUCAGUCUGAAGCUUCCCAAUUCCAUUCAUUGCUCAUCCAUGGCCAUCCACACUGAUGGGGGAAGAUGGACUAAGAGAGCAUAUGAUACAUUGUUGUUGGAUGCUGGAGGUACCCUUUUGCAGUUGGCAAAGCCUGUGGAAGAGAUUUACGCCACCAUUGGCUGUAAAUACGGUUUGUCUGCAACAUCAGCUGAAAUAAAGCAAGGGUUUAGGAGAGCUUUUGCUGCUCCGUGGCCUGAGAAGCUUCGUUACCAGGGAGAUGGGAGACCAUUUUGGAAAUUGGUUGUUUCCGAAGCCACUGGUUGUGCUGAUAAUGAUUAUUUUGAAGAAGUUUAUGAGUACUAUGCAAAAGGUGAUGCAUGGCGCCUUCCAGAUGGAGCUUAUGAAACAAUAACCCUUCUCAGGGAUGCUGGAGUUAAGAUCGCUGUUGUCUCCAAUUUUGAUACCCGUCUAAGGAAGUUACUGAAAGACCUGAAUGUUUUAGAUCUGUUUGAUGCUGUUAUCAUAUCUUCAGAAGUUGGAUAUGAAAAACCAGACAUAGAGAUAUUUAAAGCUGCUUUAGGUACAUAGAAUCACCAAAUCACCUUUUAAGUAUCAAGUUAAUGUUGAGGCUUGCAAAGCAGUACACGUUGGAGAUGAUCAAAAGGCAGAUAAGGAAGGGGCCAAUGCCAUUGGGAUUGAUUGCUGGUUAUGGGGAAUUGAUGUAAAGACAUUCUCUGACAUAGGAAACCGAAUACUCAUUUCUGAGCUGUAGCUUCCGCGGAUCUGAGUACCAGACUGCAUAUUUGCUAAAAGAGUGAUGGUUGGACAACUUCAAUUGCUUCCAAGGACAAAAACUAAACGUAUUGGAUACUUUGAGGAAUGAUAUAGAAAUUUCUGUAUUGAAUAAGCGAAUUGUAAUAUCUCCCAACUAUUAAUAGAUUUGUGGAUACACAAUGGAUUUUUUUCCUGAGUUAGGAUUUGAUGGAUUACAUUUCUGUCAUUUUCA